This 258-nucleotide long non-coding RNA is filed under the name Trifolium pratense (red clover). RNAcentral's name for it is "long non-coding RNA (TPRA_LNC003417)". Lineage: Eukaryota; Viridiplantae; Streptophyta; Magnoliopsida; Fabales; Fabaceae. The record is from RNAcentral.
UAGAUGAGAAUUUGAAUUGGAUAUGAUAUGACGAUAUGUAUGUCAUAAAACAUGUAGAUCUGACUUUGACUUUGGUUGAUUCACCAUCAGCACCGUCUUGUUUAAAAGGUUGUUUGUUGUGUGAAGCACAUUAAUGCAGUGGAGGUGAUUGAUUUUCACUUCUUCCUUGUUGUUGGUAUUGUUUGUUCUAGUACAUUUUUUAUUUACAAGUUGUGUGUGCGCGUUGACGAAUUGACGGAUCCAUGAAACAACUGCUCU